CCUACGGGGGGCAGCAGUGGGGAAUAUUGGACAAUGGGGGCAACCCUGAUCCAGCCAAGCCGCGUGUGUGAAGAAGGCCCUCGGGUUGUAAAGCACUUUCAGUGAGGAAGAACGCCUGGUGGUUAAUACCCAUCAGGAAAGACAUCACUCACAGAAGAAGCACCGGCUAACUCCGUGCCAGCAGCCGCGGUAAUACGGAGGGUGCGAGCGUUAAUCGGAAUUACUGGGCGUAAAGCGCGCGUAGGUGGCUUGAUAAGCCGGUUGUGAAAGCCCCGGGCUCAACCUGGGAACGGCAUCCGGAACUGUCAAGCUAGAGUGCAGGAGAGGAAGGUAGAAUUCCCGGUGUAGCGGUGAAAUGCGUAGAGAUCGGGAGGAAUACCAGUGGCGAAGGCGGCCUUCUGGACUGACACUGACACUGAGGUGCGAAAGCGUGGGUAGCAAACAGGAUUAGAUACCCUGGUAGUC
This 465-nucleotide ribosomal RNA is filed under the name Vreelandella stevensii. RNAcentral describes it as "partial 16S ribosomal RNA". It matches the Rfam family "Bacterial small subunit ribosomal RNA", at positions 338 to 795 of the family's 1533-position model. Lineage: Bacteria; Pseudomonadati; Pseudomonadota; Gammaproteobacteria; Oceanospirillales; Halomonadaceae. The record is from RNAcentral.